Molecule: transfer RNA, 65 nt
Filed under: Dipodomys ordii (Ord's kangaroo rat)
Lineage: Eukaryota; Metazoa; Chordata; Mammalia; Rodentia; Heteromyidae
Rfam family: tRNA
About the family: Transfer RNA (tRNA) molecules are approximately 80 nucleotides in length.
Source: Rfam by way of RNAcentral
GGUGGCUCAGUGGUAGAGCGAUUGCCUUGCAUGCAUGAGGUCCUGGGUUCGAUUCCUCAGCACCA